Molecule: long non-coding RNA, 913 nt
Organism: Chelonia mydas (Green sea turtle)
Lineage: Eukaryota; Metazoa; Chordata; Testudines; Cheloniidae
Exons: 2
Source: RefSeq, a predicted model, not a curated record
UUUCUCCCCAGCCUUAGAGAGAGAGAUGGACCUGGCUGCCUAGGAGUGCAGGGGGUACCGCACCUCCUGGGCUGUGGCCCGAUAGAAGGCCAAAGCAUGUCCAAACCCCCCUUGCCAGUGAUGAGUGGAUUACAGACUGCAGUCUGCCCUAGUGAGCGGAGUCUAGAUGAUGACUGGCAAUAGCCACUGAGGCAAGGUGGGGAUAGAGGUCUGGGUGUUCUCUGGGGAGGGGAGACCCAGAGACUGUGAGGGUACUGAAGAGGGCAGAACCCUGAGGAGAGAAAAGACAGGGCUUGGCUGUAAUGCAAAUGACGAUGAUGGACAGAGACACGCAUCCGCUCUUCUGGGCUCUCCAGCUCUCACGCUGAGGACUUGUCUACACAAACAUAGAGUUUGCGGCAAGCUGGGAUAUGGGUCUCCCCUGCACUAGCCUGCCGUGGACUCACUGUCCAUAGGGAUCCUGCUGAUUUGCAUUAACAAUUUGUUCAUGCACUUUGAGGUACUUCUGUUUCAAAGCGGUUAAGAGCUGGUGUAAAAAGCUGUUAGAGGAAGCUAUUUGCAGUGCUCAGUUUUAUAGGUCCUACAAAAUCCAGGAACUAGGCUACAUAUUCUUGAACACCAUUUACUGGCAACUUAUCUGUUAACCCCCUACUUACACAUAUGCAGACCAAGAGCACUCCUGUGUCACCCGUCUCUAGGGCAUAAGGAUGUCAACCUGCCCUUUGUGUGGAGAGAAGAAGCUCUGGCACCAGCUGCUCAAUGUGGGAGCCUGGAUUGGAGCAACCUGCAUGGAACUGAGGGAGGCAUUUGGAGAAGCCCAGGAAGUCAGUCUGCAUGCAUGUGGCUGGAAUGCUAGCUCCAGAGACAGCCCGUCUGUAGAUCUUUUAAUAAAGAGCCAGUUUAGUUUUAGAAA